UGGCGGCAGCCCUUACACAUGCAAGUCGAGCGAGAAAGUUUCUUCGGAAACGAGUAAAGCGGCGGACGGGUGAGUAACGCGUAGGAAUCUACCAUUCAGUGGGGGAUAGCUCGGGGAAACUCGAAUUAAUACCGCAUAUACCCUAAGGGGGAAAGAGGGCCUAUCCUUGGAAGCUCUUGCUGUUUGAUGAGCCUGCGUGAGAUUAGUUUGUUGGUGAGGUAAUGGCUCACCAAGGCUACGAUCUCUAGCUGGUCUGAGAGGACGAUCAGCCACACUGGGACUGAGACACGGCCCAGACUCCUACGGGAGGCAGCAGUGGGGAAUAUUGGACAAUGGGGGCAACCCUGAUCCAGGCAUGCCGCGUGUGUGAAGAAGGCCUUCGGGUUGUAAAGCACUUUAGGUAAGGAAGAAAAGUCAUUGGUUAAUACCCAAUGACCAUGACAUUACUUACAGAAUAAGGACCGGCUAACUCCGUGCCAGCAGCCGCGGUAAUACGGAGGGUCCAAGCGUUAAUCGGAAUUACUGGGCGUAAAGCGCGCGUAGGCGGUUUGACAAGUUGGGUGUGAAAUCCCCGGGCUUAACCUGGGAACUGCAUUCAAAACUUUUAAACUGGAGUACGGGAGAGGAGAGUAGAAUUCAUGGUGUAGCGGUGAAAUGCGUAGAUAUCAUGAGGAAUACCAAUGGCGAAGGCAACUCUCUGGACCGUAACUGACGCUGAGGUGCGAAAGCGUGGGUAGCAAACAGGAUUAGAUACCCUGGUAGUCCACGCCGUAAACGAUGACAACUAGCCGUUGGACUUUCGGGUUCAGUGGCACAGCUAACGCAUUAAGUUGUCCGCC
RNAcentral lists this ribosomal RNA (839 nucleotides) under uncultured Gammaproteobacteria bacterium. RNAcentral's name for it is "bacterial SSU rRNA". It matches the Rfam family "Bacterial small subunit ribosomal RNA", at positions 37 to 873 of the family's 1533-position model. The record is from RNAcentral. Lineage: Bacteria; Pseudomonadati; Pseudomonadota; Gammaproteobacteria.